GCUGCAUUAUAAAGACAUACAUCUGAAUAGAAUAACCAUCAACAGUAUUUAAUUGCUUAAAGCCCGCACGCCCAGAGGAAUAAGGAGUUUGUUCCUGUCCCAACAAGGAGUUUAGCUGGUGUGGUACUGCAGAGAGAAGGAAGGAAAGGGUACUUAGUUGCCUACAGAGACAGACGUUUUUAGAUUAGCAGAAUUUCAGAAGCUAAGCUUUCAGGAUCUGAGACUGUCUGUCAGUGAGAAAUAUUUAUUCAAAGAUGUCCAAAAAUUCAAGGGGGUGGGUUUUGUUGCUUAGUUGUGCAGAGGUUACCCAUUUUUUGAGAGUC
RNAcentral lists this long non-coding RNA (323 nucleotides) under Elaeis guineensis (African oil palm). RNAcentral describes it as "long non-coding RNA (EGUI_LNC065989)". The record is from RNAcentral. Lineage: Eukaryota; Viridiplantae; Streptophyta; Magnoliopsida; Arecales; Arecaceae.